UAUUUAUAAAGAAUAGGGAAGAGAGCAGACUCGUUGAACCUAUUGCAACCUAGCCUCUUGAUGGGAAAAGGUGCUAAAUUCUGCCUAAAUGAUUAGGGAAUAUAAAUA
RNAcentral lists this non-coding RNA (108 nucleotides) under Chryseolinea serpens. Its description in RNAcentral is "SAM-I sequence". It matches the Rfam family "SAM riboswitch aptamer (S box leader)". From Rfam's summary of the family: The SAM riboswitch is found upstream of a number of genes which code for proteins involved in methionine or cysteine biosynthesis in Gram-positive bacteria. The SAM riboswitch acts at the level of transcription termination control. The predicted structure consists of a complex stem-loop region followed by a single stem loop terminator region. The record is from Rfam by way of RNAcentral. Lineage: Bacteria; Pseudomonadati; Bacteroidota; Cytophagia; Cytophagales; Fulvivirgaceae.